This 253-nucleotide ribosomal RNA is filed under the name uncultured bacterium. RNAcentral describes it as "partial 16S ribosomal RNA". It matches the Rfam family "Bacterial small subunit ribosomal RNA", at positions 524 to 776 of the family's 1533-position model. The record is from RNAcentral.
UACGUAGGUGACAAGCGUUGUCCGGAUUUACUGGGCGUAAAGAGCGCGCAGGCGGUCGAUCAAGUCGAGUGUGAAAGCCCCCGGCUCAACUGGGGAGGGUCAUUCGAUACUGAUCGACUCGAAGGCAGGAGAGGGUAGUGGAAUUCCCGGUGUAGUGGUGAAAUGCGUAGAGAUCCGGAAGAACACCGGUGGCGAAGGCGGCCUGCUGGGUUCUGGCUGACACUGAGGCGCGACAGCGUGGGGAGCAAACAGG